RNAcentral lists this ribosomal RNA (433 nucleotides) under uncultured bacterium. Its description in RNAcentral is "partial 16S ribosomal RNA". It matches the Rfam family "Bacterial small subunit ribosomal RNA", at positions 29 to 507 of the family's 1533-position model. The record is from RNAcentral.
AACGAACGCUGGCGGCAGGCCUAACACAUGCAAGUCGAGCGCGCCCUUCGGGGUGAGCGGCGGACGGGUGAGUAACGCGUGGGAACGUGCCCUUUUCUACGGAAUAGCCUCGGGAAACUGAGAGUAAUACCGUAUACGCCCUUUGGGGGAAAGAUUUAUCGGAAAAGGAUCGGCCCGCGUUGGAUUAGGUAGUUGGUGGGGUAAUGGCCUACCAAGCCGACGAUCCAUAGCUGGUUUGAGAGGACGAUCAGCCACACUGGGACUGAGACACGGCCCAGACUCCUACGGGAGGCAGCAGUGGGGAAUCUUAGACAAUGGGGGCAACCCUGAUCUAGCCAUGCCGCGUGAGUGAUGAAGGCCUUAGGGUUGUAAAGCUCUUUCAGCUGGGAAGAUAAUGACGGUACCAGCAGAAGAAGCCCCGGCUAACUCCGUG